Molecule: transfer RNA, 69 nt
Filed under: Yongeichthys criniger (horny goby)
Lineage: Eukaryota; Metazoa; Chordata; Actinopteri; Gobiiformes; Gobiidae
Description: tRNA-Arg
Rfam family: tRNA
About the family: Transfer RNA (tRNA) molecules are approximately 80 nucleotides in length. Their secondary structure includes four short double-helical elements and three loops (D, anti-codon, and T loops).
Source: RNAcentral
AGGUGAUUAUUUUAAUUAAAAUAUUUGAUUUCGGCUCAAAAGAUAGCGGUUAAAGUCCGCAAUCAUCUA